RNAcentral lists this ribosomal RNA (228 nucleotides) under Pelobates cultripes (western spadefoot toad). RNAcentral describes it as "SSU_rRNA_microsporidia". It matches the Rfam family "Eukaryotic small subunit ribosomal RNA", at positions 253 to 470 of the family's 1831-position model. Lineage: Eukaryota; Metazoa; Chordata; Amphibia; Anura; Pelobatidae. The record is from RNAcentral.
AGGACUCCCAUGCGGAGUGGGCAUGCCGCAUCACAAGGGCCACCCAGAACUGGCUCAACUAUGUCAUCCAUAUCAACUUUCGAUGCCACUUUCUGCGCCUACCAUGGUGACCACGGGUAACGGGGAGUUAGGGUUCGAUUCCGGAGAGGGAGCCUGAGAAACGGCUACCACAUGCAAGGAAGGCAGCAGGCGCGCAAAUUACCCACUCCCGAUGCGGGAAGGUUGUGA